CACGUAGGGCGCAAGCGUUUGUCCGGAAUUAUUGGGCGUAAAGAGCUCGUAGGCGGUCUGUUACGUCUGCUGUGAAAACCCAGGGCUUAACCCUGGGCUUGCAGUGGAUACGGGCAGACUAGAGGCAGGUAGGGGAGAAUGGAAUUCCCGGUGUAGCGGUGAAAUGCGCAGAUAUCGGGAGGAACACCGGUGGCGAAGGCGGUUCUCUGGGCCUGACCUGGACGCUGAGGAGCGAAAGCGUUGGG
Molecule: ribosomal RNA, 245 nt
Filed under: uncultured bacterium
Lineage: Bacteria
Description: partial 16S ribosomal RNA
Rfam family: Bacterial small subunit ribosomal RNA
Source: RNAcentral